This 503-nucleotide ribosomal RNA is filed under the name uncultured Sphingobacteriales bacterium. RNAcentral's name for it is "bacterial SSU rRNA". It matches the Rfam family "Bacterial small subunit ribosomal RNA", at positions 903 to 1382 of the family's 1533-position model. The record is from RNAcentral. Lineage: Bacteria; Pseudomonadati; Bacteroidota; Sphingobacteriia; Sphingobacteriales.
CCGUUGCCAGCCCGCUCAAGAAACUUAAAGGAAUUGACGGGGCCCGCACAAGCGGAGAGCAUGUGGUUUAAUUCGAUGAUACGCGAGGAACCUUACCUGGGCUCGAACGUAAGAUGACUGUAGGUGAAAGCUUACAUCUCUUCGGAGCAUUUUUACGAGGUGCUGCAUGGUUGUCGUCAGCUCGUGCCGUGAGGUGUCGGGUUAAGUCCCAUAACGAGCGCAACCCUACCUUUAGUUGCCAUCAGGUAAUGCUGGGGACUCUAAAGGAACUGCCUACGCAAGUAGUGAGGAAGGCGGGGAUGACGUCAAAUCAGCACGGCCCUUACGUCCAGGGCUACACACGUGCUACAAUGGCCGAUACAGAGGGCAGCUACCUGGUGACAGGAUGCAAAUCUCCAAAGUCGGCCUCAGUUCGGAUCGGAGUCUGCAACCCGACUCCGUGAAGUUGGAUUCGCUAGUAAUCGCGCAUCAGCCAUGGCGCGGUGAAUACGUUCCCGGGCCUU